RNAcentral lists this ribosomal RNA (603 nucleotides) under uncultured archaeon. RNAcentral describes it as "bacterial SSU rRNA". It matches the Rfam family "Archaeal small subunit ribosomal RNA", at positions 319 to 923 of the family's 1478-position model. The record is from RNAcentral.
UCCCUAUGGGGUGCAGCAGGCGCGAAAACUUUACAAUGCGGGAAACCGUGAUAAGGGGACACCGAGUGCCAGCAUCAUAUGCUGGCUGUCCAGGUGUGUAAAAUACACCUGUUAGCAAGGGCCGGGCAAGACCGGUGUCAGCCGCCGCGGUAACACCGGCGGCCCGAGUGGUGAUCGUGAUUAUUGGGUCUAAAGGGUCCGUAGCCGGUUUGGUCAGUCCUCCGGGAAAUCUGACAGCUCAACUGUUAGGCUUUCGGGGGAUACUGCCAGACUUGGAACCGGGAGAGGUAAGAGGUACUACAGGGGUAGGAGUGAAAUCUUGUAAUCCCUGUGGGACCACCUGUGGCGAAGGCGUCUUACCAGAACGGGUUCGACGGUGAGGGACGAAAGCUGGGGGCACGAACCGGAUUAGAUACCCGGGUAGUCCCAGCCGUAAACGAUGCUCGCUAGGUGUCAGGCAUGGCGCGACCGUGUCUGGUGCCGCAGGGAAGCCGUGAAGCGAGCCACCUGGGAAGUACGGCCGCAAGGCUGAAACUUAAAGGAAUUGGCGGGGGAGCACAACAACGGGUGGAGCCUGCGGUUUAAUUGGAGUCAACGCCGGGA